GACGAACGCUGGCGGCGUGCCUAAUACAUGCAAGUAGAACGCUGAAGAGAGGAGCUUGCUCUUCUUGGAUGAGUUGCGAACGGGUGAGUAACGCGUAGGUAACCUGCCUUGUAGCGGGGGAUAACUAUUGGAAACGAUAGCUAAUACCGCAUAACAAUGGAUGACACAUGCCAUUUAUUUGAAAGGGGCAAUUGCUCCACUACAAGAUGGACCUGCGUUGUAUUAGCUAGUAGGUGAGGUAAUGGCUCACCUAGGCGACGAUACAUAGCCGACCUGAGAGGGUGAUCGGCCACACUGGGACUGAGACACGGCCCAGACUCCUACGGGAGGCAGCAGUAGGGAAUCCUCGGCAAUGGGGGCAACCCUGACCGAGCAACGCCGCGUGAGUGAAGAAGGUUUUCGGAUCGUAAAGCUCUGUUGUAAGUCAAGAACGGGUGUGAGAGUGGAAAGUUCACACUGUGACGGUAGCUUACCAGAAAGGGACGGCUAACUACGUG
This 497-nucleotide ribosomal RNA is filed under the name uncultured bacterium. Its description in RNAcentral is "partial 16S ribosomal RNA". It matches the Rfam family "Bacterial small subunit ribosomal RNA", at positions 28 to 507 of the family's 1533-position model. The record is from RNAcentral.